UCUGGGUUGCAUGGCCGCACGCCGUGGUCGGUUUGUUGUAUCUAUUAACGGUGCACUGACUGCCUGGUGUCGUGGUUGUGCAAUCUUUCUGCCGUAUCUGANUCAGGUGCCGGUUGAUUUUCAGCUGGCAUGCUCUUUGAUGCCUUUAAUUGGGUGUCUGGAGCAGACGGCACGUUUACUUUGAACAAAUUUGAGUGCUCAAAGCAGGCGUAUUGCCUGAAAAGUCUUGCAUGGAAUAAUGGAAUAGGACUUCGGUUCUAUUUUGUUGGUUUUCGGAUCCGAAGUAAU
Molecule: ribosomal RNA, 288 nt
Filed under: Nematobothrium scombri
Lineage: Eukaryota; Metazoa; Platyhelminthes; Trematoda; Azygiida; Didymozoidae
Description: partial small subunit ribosomal RNA
Rfam family: Eukaryotic small subunit ribosomal RNA (bases 76-288)
Source: RNAcentral